UGGGAACCUUCCCUAUGGUUCGGAAUAGCUCAGGGAAACUUGGGGUAAUACCGGAUAAGCCCUUCGGGGGAAAGAUUUAUCGCCAUUGGAUGGGCCCGCGUCGCAUUAGCUAGUUGGUGAGGUAACGGCUCACCAAGGCAACGAUGCGUAGCCGACCUGAGAGGGUGAUCGGCCACAUUGGAACUGAGACACGGUCCAGACUCCUACGGGAGGCAG
This 216-nucleotide ribosomal RNA is filed under the name uncultured bacterium. Its description in RNAcentral is "partial 16S ribosomal RNA". It matches the Rfam family "Bacterial small subunit ribosomal RNA", at positions 118 to 351 of the family's 1533-position model. The record is from RNAcentral.